Molecule: ribosomal RNA, 301 nt
Filed under: uncultured bacterium
Lineage: Bacteria
Description: partial 16S ribosomal RNA
Rfam family: Bacterial small subunit ribosomal RNA
Source: RNAcentral
CAGCAGCCGCGGUAAUACGUAGGGUGCAAGCGUUAAUCGGAAUUACUGGGCGUAAAGCGCGCGUAGGUGGUUCGCCAAGUUGGAUGUGAAAUCCCCGGGCUCAACCUGGGAACUGCAUCCAAAACUGGCGAGCUAGAGUAUGGUAGAGGGUGGUGGAAUUUCCUGUGUAGCGGUGAAAUGCGUAGAUAUAGGAAGGAACAUCAGUGGCGAAGGCGACCACCUGGACUGAUACUGACACUGAGGUGCGAAAGCGUGGGGAGCAAACAGGAUUAGAUACCCCUGUAGUCCCUGUCUCUUAUAC